RNAcentral lists this unclassified non-coding RNA (280 nucleotides) under Glomus sp. Its description in RNAcentral is "partial contains 5.8S ribosomal RNA and internal transcribed spacer 2". The stretch from base 1 to 65 matches the Rfam family "5.8S ribosomal RNA", at positions 84 to 154 of the family's 154-position model. The record is from RNAcentral. Lineage: Eukaryota; Fungi; Glomeromycota; Glomeromycetes; Glomerales; Glomeraceae.
GUGAAUCAUCGAAUCUUUGAACGCAAAUUGCACUCUCUUCGGAGAGUAUGCCUGUUUGAGGGUCAGCCUAAAAAAAAUCGACAUCGUUGCUGUUUUGCGGUGGAGUUCGUCGGAAAUUGGGUUAUCUUAAAUCUUUGGAUUAAGCGAAUUAAAAUUUUCUUUACGAUUUCAUGAACGUAUCUAAGUUUUAUUUCUUUAUACGUUUAAGGUCUCGUAUUUAUUAGGCGUGGUCGUCAUAUAGGAUCAUGUUCCUAUAUUUUCGUAAAUUUUGACCACACAU